CCUACGGGGGGCUGCAGUGAGGAAUAUUGGUCAAUGGACGCAAGUCUGAACCAGCCAUGCCGCGUGAAGGAUGAAGGCGUUCUGCGUUGUAAACUUCUUUUAUCUGGGAAGAAACCUACUUUUUCUAAAGUAGCCGACGGUACCAGAGGAAUAAGCACCGGCUAACUCCGUGCCAGCAGCCGCGGUAAUACGGAGGGUGCAAGCGUUAUCCGGAUUCACUGGGUUUAAAGGGUGUGUAGGCGGGUAUUUAAGUCAGUGGUGAAAUCUCCGAGCUCAACUCGGAAACUGCCAUUGAUACUAUUUAUCUUGAAUAUUGUUGAGGUAGGCGGAAUAUGUCAUGUAGCGGUGAAAUGCUUAGAUAUGACAUAGAACACCGAUUGCGAAGGCAGCUUGCUAAACUGUUAUUGACGCUGAGGCACGAAAGCGUGGGGAUCAAACAGGAUUAGAUACCCGGGUAGUC
RNAcentral lists this ribosomal RNA (460 nucleotides) under uncultured Chitinophagaceae bacterium. RNAcentral describes it as "bacterial SSU rRNA". It matches the Rfam family "Bacterial small subunit ribosomal RNA", at positions 338 to 795 of the family's 1533-position model. Lineage: Bacteria; Pseudomonadati; Bacteroidota; Chitinophagia; Chitinophagales; Chitinophagaceae. The record is from RNAcentral.